This 2989-nucleotide ribosomal RNA is filed under the name Salmonella enterica subsp. enterica serovar Newport. Its description in RNAcentral is "23S ribosomal RNA". It matches the Rfam family "Bacterial large subunit ribosomal RNA". The record is from RNAcentral. Lineage: Bacteria; Pseudomonadati; Pseudomonadota; Gammaproteobacteria; Enterobacterales; Enterobacteriaceae.
GGUUAAGCGACUAAGCGUACACGGUGGAUGCCCUGGCAGUCAGAGGCGAUGAAGGGCGUGCUAAUCUGCGAUAAGCGCCGGUAAGGUGAUAUGAACCGUUAUAACCGGCGAUACCCGAACGGGGAAACCCAGUGUGACUCGUCACACUAUCAUUAACUGAAUCCAUAGGUUAAUGAGGCGAACCGGGGGAACUGAAACAUCUAAGUACCCCGAGGAAAAGAAAUCAACCGAGAUUCCCCCAGUAGCGGCGAGCGAACGGGGAGGAGCCCAGAGCCUGAAUCAGCAUGUGUGUUAGUGGAAGCGUCUGGAAAGGCGCGCGAUACAGGGUGACAGCCCCGUACACAAAAGCGCAUGUGCUGUGAGCUCGAUGAGUAGGGCGGGACACGUGGUAUCCUGUCUGAAUAUGGGGGGACCAUCCUCCAAGGCUAAAUACUCCUGACUGACCGAUAGUGAACCAGUACCGUGAGGGAAAGGCGAAAAGAACCCCGGCGAGGGGAGUGAAAAAGAACCUGAAACCGUGUACGUACAAGCAGUGGGAGCACAGGUUUACCUGUGUGACUGCGUACCUUUUGUAUAAUGGGUCAGCGACUUAUAUUCUGUAGCAAGGUUAACCGAAUAGGGGAGCCGGAGGGAAACCGAGUCUUAAUUGGGCGUUAAGUUGCAGGGUAUAGACCCGAAACCCGGUGAUCUAGCCAUGGGCAGGUUGAAGGUUGGGUAACACUAACUGGAGGACCGAACCGACUAAUGUUGAAAAAUUAGCGGAUGACCUGUGGCUGGGGGUGAAAGGCCAAUCAAACCGGGAGAUAGCUGGUUCUCCCCGAAAGCUAUUUAGGUAGCGCCUCGUGAAUUCAUCUCCGGGGGUAGAGCACUGUUUCGGCUAGGGGGCCAUCCCGGCUUACCAACCCGAUGCAAACUGCGAAUACCGGAGAAUGUUAUCACGGGAGACACACGGCGGGUGCUAACGUCCGUCGUGAAGAGGGAAACAACCCAGACCGCCAGCUAAGGUCCCAAAGUCAUGGUUAAGUGGGAAACGAUGUGGGAAGGCCCAGACAGCCAGGAUGUUGGCUUAGAAGCAGCCAUCAUUUAAAGAAAGCGUAAUAGCUCACUGGUCGAGUCGGCCUGCGCGGAAGAUGUAACGGGGCUAAACCAUGCACCGAAGCUGCGGCAGCGAACGUAUCACUUAAAGCGAUUCAGCGGGUUACGAUUGACGGAGCGAAGCGACGUCAAAGCGUAUACAAAGUCGAGUCGGUUUAAGGAUACGUUCGUUGGGUAGGGGAGCGUUCUGUAAGCCUGUGAAGGUGGCCUGUGAGGGUUGCUGGAGGUAUCAGAAGUGCGAAUGCUGACAUAAGUAACGAUAAAGCGGGUGAAAAGCCCGCUCGCCGGAAGACCAAGGGUUCCUGUCCAACGUUAAUCGGGGCAGGGUGAGUCGACCCCUAAGGCGAGGCCGAAAGGCGUAGUCGAUGGGAAACAGGUUAAUAUUCCUGUACUUGGUGUUACUGCGAAGGGGGGACGGAGAAGGCUAUGUUGGCCGGGCGACGGUUGUCCCGGUUUAAGCGUGUAGGUGUGUGUUCCAGGUAAAUCCGGUUCACUUUAACACUGAGGCGUGAUGACGAGGCACUACGGUGCUGAAGCAACAAAUGCCCUGCUUCCAGGAAAAGCCUCUAAGCAUCAGGUAACAUCAAAUCGUACCCCAAACCGACACAGGUGGUCAGGUAGAGAAUACCAAGGCGCUUGAGAGAACUCGGGUGAAGGAACUAGGCAAAAUGGUGCCGUAACUUCGGGAGAAGGCACGCUGACACGUAGGUGAAGUGAUUUACUCAUGGAGCUGAAGUCAGUCGAAGAUACCAGCUGGCUGCAACUGUUUAUUAAAAACACAGCACUGUGCAAACACGAAAGUGGACGUAUACGGUGUGACGCCUGCCCGGUGCCGGAAGGUUAAUUGAUGGGGUCAGCGCAAGCGAAGCUCCUGAUCGAAGCCCCGGUAAACGGCGGCCGUAACUAUAACGGUCCUAAGGUAGCGAAAUUCCUUGUCGGGUAAGUUCCGACCUGCACGAAUGGCGUAAUGAUGGCCAGGCUGUCUCCACCCGAGACUCAGUGAAAUUGAACUCGCUGUGAAGAUGCAGUGUACCCGCGGCAAGACGGAAAGACCCCGUGAACCUUUACUAUAGCUUGACACUGAACAUUGAGCCUUGAUGUGUAGGAUAGGUGGGAGGCUUUGAAGCGUGGACGCCAGUCUGCGUGGAGCCGACCUUGAAAUACCACCCUUUAAUGUUUGAUGUUCUAACGUGGACCCGUAAUCCGGGUUGCGGACAGUGUCUGGUGGGUAGUUUGACUGGGGCGGUCUCCUCCUAAAGAGUAACGGAGGAGCACGAAGGUUGGCUAAUCCUGGUCGGACAUCAGGAGGUUAGUGCAAUGGCAUAAGCCAGCUUGACUGCGAGCGUGACGGCGCGAGCAGGUGCGAAAGCAGGUCAUAGUGAUCCGGUGGUUCUGAAUGGAAGGGCCAUCGCUCAACGGAUAAAAGGUACUCCGGGGAUAACAGGCUGAUACCGCCCAAGAGUUCAUAUCGACGGCGGUGUUUGGCACCUCGAUGUCGGCUCAUCACAUCCUGGGGCUGAAGUAGGUCCCAAGGGUAUGGCUGUUCGCCAUUUAAAGUGGUACGCGAGCUGGGUUUAGAACGUCGUGAGACAGUUCGGUCCCUAUCUGCCGUGGGCGCUGGAGAACUGAGGGGGGCUGCUCCUAGUACGAGAGGACCGGAGUGGACGCAUCACUGGUGUUCGGGUUGUCAUGCCAAUGGCACUGCCCGGUAGCUAAAUGCGGAAGAGAUAAGUGCUGAAAGCAUCUAAGCACGAAACUUGCCCCGAGAUGAGUUCUCCCUGAGACUUAGAGUCUCCUGAAGGAACGUUGAAGACGACGACGUUGAUAGGCCGGGUGUGUAAGCGCAGCGAUGCGUUGAGCUAACCGGUACUAAUGAACCGUGAGGCUUAACCUU